CUCUUGGCGAAAGCCAGGUAACCCCUGCCCUAUGAGACUAUUAAAUGGCCGCAGUAUCCUGACUGUGCAAAGGUAGCAUAAUCAUUUGCCUCUUAAAUGGGGGCUGGCAUGAAUGGGGCGACGAGAUACAUUCUUUUGAGGUUCAAAAUUAAUUUGACAUAGGUGUCAAAAGGCUUCUAUGUUUCUGGGGGACGAUAAGACCCUAUAAAACUUUACUCUAAGUAUACCUGGUAAGAGAAAGGGCAAUGUAAGAGUUUUACUGGGGCGGUUUAUAUAACACCUAUAUAAGAUAAAAUAUUUAAGAUAGAAGGUAAUAACUUGAUUUAAAAUUUAAGUAAGUUACUUUAGGGAUAACAGCAUAACCCCCUCGGAGAGUUCAAAUCGGCGGGGGGACUUAUGACCUCGAUGUUGAAUUGGGAAGGCUCUUUUGGGCAGCUCUAAAAGAAGCUAGUCUGUUCGACUAUUAAACUCCC
RNAcentral lists this ribosomal RNA (473 nucleotides) under Lirceolus cocytus. RNAcentral describes it as "partial 16S ribosomal RNA". It matches the Rfam family "Bacterial large subunit ribosomal RNA", at positions 1835 to 2597 of the family's 2925-position model. Lineage: Eukaryota; Metazoa; Arthropoda; Malacostraca; Isopoda; Asellidae. The record is from RNAcentral.